RNAcentral lists this ribosomal RNA (261 nucleotides) under uncultured archaeon. Its description in RNAcentral is "partial 16S ribosomal RNA". It matches the Rfam family "Archaeal small subunit ribosomal RNA", at positions 748 to 1008 of the family's 1478-position model. The record is from RNAcentral.
CAGCCGUAAACUAUGCGCGUUAGGUGUACUGGUGACCACGAGUCACCGGGGUGCCGAAGGGAAACCGUGAAACGUGCCGCCUGGGAAGUACGGUCGCAAGGCUGAAACUUAAAGGAAUUGGCGGGGGGGCACCACAACGGGUGGAGCCUGCGGUUUAAUUGGACUCAACGCCGGAAAUCUCACCGGAUAGGACAGACAUAUGAUAGUCGGGCUGAAGACUCUACUUGAUGAUCUGAGAGGUGGUGCAUGGCGUCAGUGACU